AGGCAAUACACCAAAAGGGUUUCAAUCAAUUCUAAAAUAAUCUGCAAAAAUGAAUCUUUUGGCGUUAGUAAUGGGUCUGUGCCUCAUUUGCAGCGUUUAUUCCGCACCACAAUACCCUAAAGAUAUCUUUUCUCAUGAAGAUGGAUUUUGGGGUUGAAGUGAACUUGCUUCAUAACAUAAAGUACAAAACUAAUUUGAUAAAAGAGCUGUAAUUUAUUAUACUUAAAGUGCGAAAUAAACAUAUGUUAGUUUUGUAA
Drosophila sulfurigaster albostrigata is the source of this 257-nucleotide long non-coding RNA. RefSeq lists it as uncharacterized. Lineage: Eukaryota; Metazoa; Arthropoda; Insecta; Diptera; Drosophilidae. The record is from RefSeq and is a predicted model, not a curated record. The transcript has 2 exons.